RNAcentral lists this transfer RNA (84 nucleotides) under Vararia minispora EC-137. RNAcentral describes it as "tRNA-Asp". Lineage: Eukaryota; Fungi; Basidiomycota; Agaricomycetes; Russulales; Lachnocladiaceae. The record is from RNAcentral.
UCCCUGGUAGUAUAUCGGAUGAGUACACGCGCCUGUCAUGAAAGUGGUACGCGCGAGAGCGGGGUUCGACUCCCCGCCAGGGAG